RNAcentral lists this ribosomal RNA (516 nucleotides) under uncultured bacterium. Its description in RNAcentral is "partial 16S ribosomal RNA". It matches the Rfam family "Bacterial small subunit ribosomal RNA", at positions 28 to 523 of the family's 1533-position model. The record is from RNAcentral.
GACGAACGCUGGCGGCAUGCCUAAUACAUGCAAGUCGAGCGGAGUUGAUGGAAAGCUUGCUUUCCUGAUACUUAGCGGCGGACGGGUGAGUAACACGUAGGCAACCUGCCCUCAAGCUUGGGACAACUACCGGAAACGGUAGCUAAUACCGAAUACUUGUUUUCUUCGCCUGAAGAGAACUGGAAGGACGGAGCAAUCUGUCACUUGGGGAUGGGCCUGCGGCGCAUUAGCUAGUUGGUGAGGUAACGGCUCACCAAGGCGACGAUGCGUAGCGGACCUGAGAGGGUGAUCGGCCACACUGGGACUGAGACACGGCCCAGACUCCUACGGGAGGCAGCAGUAGGGAAUCUUCCGCAAUGGGCGAAAGCCUGACGGAGCAAUGCCGCGUGAGUGAUGAAGGUUUUCGGAUCGUAAAGCUCUGUUGCCAGGGAAGAACGCUUGGGAGAGUAACUGCUCCCAAGGUGACGGUACCUGAGAAGAAAGCCCCGGCUAACUACGUGCCAGCCGCCGCCGUAA